GAAUAUUGGACAAUGGGGGCAACCCUGAUCCAGCAAUGCCGCGUGAGUGAUGAAGGCCUUCGGGUUGUAAAGCUCUUUUGCCAGGGACGAUGAUGACGGUACCUGGAGAAUAAGCCCCGGCUAACUUCGUGCCAGCAGCCGCGGUAAUACGAAGGGGGCAAGCGUUGUUCGGAAUUACUGGGCGUAAAGGGCUCGUAGGCGGCCAACUAAGUCGGAUGUGAAAUCCCCAGGCUCAACCUGGGAACUGCAUCCGAUACUGGAUGGCUUGAAUCCGGGAGAGGGAUGCAGAAUUCCAGGUGUAGCGGUGAAAUGCGUAGAUAUCUGGAGGAAUACCGGUGGCGAAGGCGGCAUCCUGGACCGGCAUUGACGCUGAGGAGCGAAAGCCAGGGGAGCAAACGGG
This 400-nucleotide ribosomal RNA is filed under the name uncultured bacterium. RNAcentral describes it as "bacterial SSU rRNA". It matches the Rfam family "Bacterial small subunit ribosomal RNA", at positions 359 to 776 of the family's 1533-position model. The record is from RNAcentral.